This 167-nucleotide microRNA precursor is filed under the name Pelobates cultripes (western spadefoot toad). The record is from RNAcentral. Lineage: Eukaryota; Metazoa; Chordata; Amphibia; Anura; Pelobatidae.
GGUCAGCUGACACAUCCCUGCCAAUCUCCGGCAGACCCUCCCUCUCAGACCCUCCCACCUCCUGGACAGCAUCCAUGUUGAAGCUGCCUUCAACAUGGUUGCUGUCCAGGAAGUAGAAGGGUCUGGGAGGGAGGGUCUGCUGGAGAUUGGCAGGGAUGUGUCAGCUG